Molecule: long non-coding RNA, 1736 nt
Filed under: Vigna radiata
Lineage: Eukaryota; Viridiplantae; Streptophyta; Magnoliopsida; Fabales; Fabaceae
Description: long non-coding RNA (VRAD_LNC007263)
Source: RNAcentral
UCAUCUAAGAUAACUGAUGGUUCAAGAUAAAAUCAAGUUAUAAUACUCUCGAAAGAGUAAACUCCUAAUGGCUUAAAUAUAAGUCUAUAUACUCAGAAUUGGAAUCGUUUACAAGUUAUGGUCAUACUCGCUUUAAUAGGCAUUCGUGGGGAUCUUUUAACAAUUACAAAAACAUGUUCCUAGAGAAUGAGUAACCUAUGAACAACUCCCGUCAUUUGGAUACUAAGACUCAACCCCACAAAACUGGCUUGUAAGGUGAGGUCUGCAUCCCACUUAUAUAUUAUAAAUUGGCCUUAUCUCUAUUCGAUGUGGGACUUCCAACACACCCUCCUCACGCCGAUGUAUAUACAUAUCGAACGUGAGACAAGAUAUUAAUGGGUGGUCCGAUAACGGCCCAAACCGGCUUGUAAGGUGAGAGGUCUGCACCCCACUUAUAUAUUAUAAAUUGGCCUUAUCUUUAUCCGAUGUGAAACUUCCAACACACCCCCCUCACGCCGAUGUAUAUACAUAUCGAGCGUGAGACUAGAUAUUAAUGGGUGGUCCGAUAACGGCCCAAUAGCGGGUGGAACAAGAUGUGGAACUUGUAACGCCCCGACAACUUACAGGGACUGUUGACUGCCCCCACACAUCACCACGAGACUUUCCAGUGUGCUUUGUCCUCACUCGCACACUUUCCGGGAAAACUUCCCGGAAGGUCACCCAUCCCAGAAUUUCUCCAGGCUAAGCACGCUUAACCAUGGAGUUCUUAUGGGUUAGGUUUCCGAAAAGCAAAUGCAUUUUGGUGAUAUGGGUAGCCAAAUCAAUUCCUUUAAGCUAUCCUUCAACUGUAUAGUCACAUACCUAUACAGUCUCGAGAUCCCUCUCAUUCCGGUGUAUGUUCGAUUCCUCCAUGUGCCCCUUCCACUCGAAGCCUGCCAGGAGCCGCUCCUUGUCUGUGCCCCCUACACCAUGCUUCUUGCACCGGCGAUCACUUCCCGCCCUCGUCAGUGCCCGGGUGUCACAGAACUUCCAAUACUCUUCCCUUUUAGAAAGUCAGAAAUAAAGUCUCUUUAUUCUUACGUUAGUCUCAAAUAGAAAUGGCAACGGUCAGGUUGAUAUGGAUAAUGUCUACGUAUAAUAUGAUUAAACAAAAAAAAAUUAUCUGUUACUGAUACGAAUAUCCGUUUAAAAAAUAUUUGUGAAUAUUUUAAAACUCAAGAAUAGUUAUGAAUACCUGCAAAUACUCACAAAUAUUUAAAAAAUAUAUUUUUUAUAAAUUAUUAAAAUAAAAUUACAAAAAUAUAAUAAAUUGAAAUUUAAUUUUAAUUAAAUUUAACCUUAUAAAAUAUAAAUUAAUGUUAAUUUUAAUUAAAUUUAACUUAAUAAAAUAUAAAUUAAAAUUUUAUUUUUAUUUUUUGUUGGUAGUGGAUAUCCGUAUAUACAAAUAGUAUAAUACUCAUACCUGACUCGUGUAUUAAAAUAUCUGUUAUCCGCAACCUACAAAUAGUUAUCCGCAACUUACUAAUAGUAAAUAUUCACAAAUAUCAACUAUCUGUUACGGAUUUUAUUUUAUCUGCAAUAUUCUGGAUGUGAAUAUUUUUUUCAUCCCUAAUAGUCAAGUAUCGGGCCUUAAUAAAAACUUCACUCACUUUUCUAAAAGAUGUCCUUGACAAGCUAAUAGUGUCCAAAAGCAAUCCUCAUGUUGGGCUAAUCUUCUCACCAUCUAAAACUUCCAAAGGAAGUCUAAACCUUAAAAG